GAUGAACGCUAGCGGCAGGCUUAAUACAUGCAAGUCGAGGGGUAUAGAGUACUUGUAUUCUAGAGACCGGCGAACGGGUGCGUAACGCGUAUGCAACCUACCUUUAUCAAGGGGAUAGCCCAGAGAAAUUUGGAUUAAUACCGUAUAACAAUAGGAUCGGCAUCGAUUUUAUUUAAAAGAUUUAUUGGAUAGAGAUGGGCAUGCGUAGGAUUAGCUAGUUGGUGAGGUAACGGCUCACCAAGGCGACGAUCCUUAGGGGCUCUGAGAGGAGUAACCCCCACACUGGCACUGAGAUACGGGCCAGACUCCUACGGGAGGCAGCAGUAGGGAAUAUUGGUCAAUGGACGGAAGUCUGAACCAGCCAUGCCGCGUGCAGGAAGACUGCCCUCUGGGUUGUAAACUGCUUUUAUAUGGGAAGAAAAGGGUUCUGCGGAACACAUUGACGGUACCAUAGGAAUAAGCCACGGCUAACUACGUGCCAGCAGCCGCGGUAAUACGUAGGUGGCAAGCGUUAUCCGGAUUUAUUGGGUCUAAAGGGUGCGUAGGCGGCCUUAUAAGUCGGUGGUUAAAGGCAGCAGCUUAACUAUAUGCAUGCCAUCGAUACUGUAGGGCUUGAAUUAUCAGAAGGUAGGCGGAAUUUCUGGUGUAGCGGUGAAAUGCAUAGAUACCAGAAGGAACACCGAUUGCGAAGGCAGCUUACUGCAGAUACAUUGACGCUGAUGCACGAAAGCGUGGGGAGCGAACAGGAUUAGAUACCCUGGUAGUCCACGCCGUAAACGAUGAUUACUAGUUGUUGGCGAUAGAGAGUCAGUGACCGAGGGAAGCCGAUAAGUAAUCCACCUGGGGAGUACGCCGGCNACGGUG
RNAcentral lists this ribosomal RNA (864 nucleotides) under uncultured bacterium. RNAcentral describes it as "bacterial SSU rRNA". It matches the Rfam family "Bacterial small subunit ribosomal RNA", at positions 28 to 896 of the family's 1533-position model. The record is from RNAcentral.